UUGAGCGAUUUACUUCGGUAAAGAGCGGCGGACGGGUGAGUAACGCGUGGGUAACCUACCCUGUACACACGGAUAACAUACCGAAAGGUAUGCUAAUACGGGAUAAUAUAUUUGAGAGGCAUCUCUUAAAUAUCAAAGGUGAGCCAGUACAGGAUGGACCCGCGUCUGCUUAGCUAGUUGGUAAGGUAACGGCUUACCAAGGCGACGAUCAGUAGCCGACCUGAGAGGGUGAUCGGCCACCUUGGAACUGAGACACGGUCCAAACUCCUACGGGAGGCCGCAGUGGGGAAUAUUGCACAAUGGGCGAAAGCCUGAUGCAGCAACGCCGCGUGAGUGAUGAAGGCCUUCGGGUCGUAAAACUCUGUCCU
Molecule: ribosomal RNA, 368 nt
Filed under: Clostridioides difficile
Lineage: Bacteria; Bacillati; Bacillota; Clostridia; Peptostreptococcales; Peptostreptococcaceae
Description: bacterial SSU rRNA
Rfam family: Bacterial small subunit ribosomal RNA
Source: RNAcentral